UUAGUGGCGGACGGGUGAGUAACGCGUGAGUAACCUGCCUUCAAGAGGGGGAUAACAUUCUGAAAAGAAUGCUAAUACCGCAUGACAUAUCGGAAUCACAUGGUUUUGAUAUCAAAGAUUUUAUCGCUUGAAGAUGGACUCGCGUCCGAUUAGUUAGUUGGUGAGGUAACGGCUCACCAAGACCGCGAUCGGUAGCCGGACUGAGAGGUUGAACGGCCACAUUGGGACUGAGACACGGCCCAGACUCCUACGGGAGGCAGCAGUGGGGGAUAUUGCGCAAUGGGGGCAACCCUGACGCAGCAACGCCGCGUGAAGGAUGAAGGUUUUCGGAUUGUAAACUUCUUUUAUUAAGGACGAAAAAUGACGGUACUUAAUGAAUAAGCUCCGGCUAACUACGUGCCAGCAGCCGCGGUAAUACGUAGGGAGCAAGCGUUGUCCGGAUUUACUGGGUGUAAAGGGUGCGUAGGCGGCUUUGCAAGUCAGAUGUGAAAUCUAUGGGCUCAACCCAUAAACUGCAUUUGAAACUGUAGAGCUUGAGUGAAGUAGAGGCAGGCGGAAUUCCCCGUGUAGCGGUGAAAUGCGUAGAGAUGGGGAGGAACACCAGUGGCGAAGGCGGCCUGCUGGGCUUUAACUGACGCUGAGGCACGAAAGCGUGGGUAGCAAACAGGAUUAGAUACCCUGGUAGUCCACGCUGUAAACGAUGAUUACUAGGUGUGGGGGGUCUGACCCCUUCCGUGCCGGAGUUAACACAAUAAGUAAUCCACCUGGGGAGUAC
RNAcentral lists this ribosomal RNA (775 nucleotides) under uncultured bacterium. RNAcentral describes it as "bacterial SSU rRNA". It matches the Rfam family "Bacterial small subunit ribosomal RNA", at positions 92 to 883 of the family's 1533-position model. The record is from RNAcentral.